RNAcentral lists this ribosomal RNA (253 nucleotides) under uncultured bacterium. RNAcentral's name for it is "partial 16S ribosomal RNA". It matches the Rfam family "Bacterial small subunit ribosomal RNA", at positions 524 to 776 of the family's 1533-position model. The record is from RNAcentral.
UACGAAGGAUGCAAGCGUUAUCCGGAUUUAUUGGGUUUAAAGGGUGCGUAGGCGGACUUAUAAGUCAGUGGUGAAAUCUCCGGGCUCAACCCGGAAACUGCCAUUGAUACUAUUAGUCUUGAAUUUUGUUGAGGUAGGCGGAAUAAGUCAUGUAGCGGUGAAAUGCUUAGAUAUGACUUAGAACACCAAUUGCGAAGGCAGCUUGCUAAACAAACAUUGACGCUGAGGCACGAAAGCGUGGGGAUCAAACAGG